RNAcentral lists this transfer RNA (67 nucleotides) under Solen grandis (grand razor shell). RNAcentral describes it as "tRNA-Trp". It matches the Rfam family "tRNA". Rfam says of the family: Transfer RNA (tRNA) molecules are approximately 80 nucleotides in length. The record is from RNAcentral. Lineage: Eukaryota; Metazoa; Mollusca; Bivalvia; Adapedonta; Solenidae.
AGUCUCUUAAGUUAUUUAAACUGUUGGAUUUCAAAUCCGGAAAUAUGAGGGAAUCUCUUAGAGUCUG